UGAGGAAACAGGAAUACACAAGCACCAUCAGAGAGAGGCGAGGCCAAAUGCCACCCAAAGCUCCUUUUCCCCUUCUCUAGCCAAAGGUUAGAGACUCCAGGGCCUAGGAGGCUCCAGGGCUGCCAGCGAGUUCUCACGUCAUCUCCUCUCCUGGGAGGCCAGGCUCGGCGGCAGAGUGCCAGCCAUUCUCUGCUCCUUAUCCCCAUCACUGAAUAAUGAAUACCAGCUAAGUGAUGGGCUGGUGCCAGCGACCUCCUAGCAAAUCUUCCCCCUGGAGUUUGGAUCAAUAACACUUAGCUGCUCCUUUUCAACUUGAAGGUUUGGCCAGGAUGGGACCUGACUCCAGCAUCAAAGGAGACACCAUGUGACAAAGCCUCCCAAAGGUCCAUCCGUCACACCAUCUCUGCCUCCUCUGGUAUUCACAGCUCCCCAGCACCCUCCACAGCCAUGACUCAUAGAAGAGGGACAAAUCCUAUUACCUAGGACACAAUCUGAUGCCAAACUUCCUGACUUCAACUGACAAUCUAGCCUGGCUACAAAGAGAUAGAACAAAGAGAGGCACAGAGAUUUUUGUGUGGAUGGGGCUCUUAAUAGCUGAAGUCACUUCCUUUGUGCAGAAGCUCUGAGUGAGUUGAGAGUGAUUUUCCUGGUCCUAGGGACUCUAAUGUGCUCAUAAAAGGAGCAUGGGACUGCCCUCAUAUGCUGCUCAUUCCUGCUUCCUCCCUACUCCUCCACUGUUCCAGAUAAUCAUCAUUAAUCCAUUUCUCAACAAGCAUUACUAGAUUACUUUAGGCUGUCCUAGGCAUUAGGGAUACACUGGGGAGACAUCAGUCUAUAUAUUCAUGGAUCUUAUGGUCUUACUACAAGUAAGACCCAAAUGCCACAUACAUCUACAUGCACACUCAUACAGAGAAGACAAAUUCCCACAUUCCUGCCUCGGAAGUUGUUGUUAUCCAACCUUGAAUGUCUGCUCUUUCCUGCCAGCCCAUGCCUAGCCUAGGAGAUGUGUUCUCCAGAAUCCAGGAGUCCUUCCCUGUCUAAUUACAUGUGGAUCACUGCUCUGUGCACUCCACUGAGAUGCCGCGAUGCUGCAUCCACCCGGGGGCUCAAGUGUUUCUGGGACUAUCUGUGGUCUUUAGUUCUUCCCAGAAUUGUAGGUUUCCUGGCUUGACAGGACGUUCAAAUAGAGACCUGGGUUUGUUUUCCCUCGUGCUCUCAUCACUGUUUCAGAUAUAGCAGGUACUAUUUGCUGACCACACAGACCCUCUUCAUUCUGGCCAGAGGAUCCUAAUUUGGCUUUCACAGUCAUACUUUUCUCUGGGUCCAUCUCCUAGGGAAAGGUGCCCUUAUGUCUAUCCUCCUUCCUCAGAAGGGCAAGGCAUAGAUCUUGGUCUACAGUGGUCCCAUUCUCCUUCCAUCAUUGGGUUAAGAAGGGCCAUGUGACCUAGUCUUGGCCAAUGAGAUGUGAGAGGAAUGAUGAAGGAGCAUCAUCAACAACAACAACAACAAAGUAGAUUUUUAACUGAUAGAGACUCCUAUGAAGAAAUGGUCCCUGAUUACGUGUUGAAUAUACAUUAACCAACCUGAAACUGCCCCACCUACUUCCAAGAUUCUUGCUAUAUAAGUCAACAAAUUUAUGACUUAAUACAUCAUUUACUUAAGAUUCCUGUUCUUUGUAAUUGAAAACAUCAUAACUAUUUUUUAUAGGGUUCUGCCUAUCAGGUUCGCCUUGUGAGUAUUCUCUAGAUAAAUGUUGGGCACAGAGUGGGCAGGCAGCAGGCACAGGAACUGAGCUCACUGGACUGUUUGUAAGGAAUGUGAGUGGUCCAACACGGAAAGAAUACAGGUGUCCAGGUGUUUCUGAGGUCCGGUUCUCAUUCUGUCCCUGGUUGACUGACAGAAUGGAAUGUGGGAAACCAAGGUAUUAA
Long non-coding RNA from Canis lupus familiaris (dog), 1928 nucleotides. RefSeq lists it as uncharacterized. The record is from RefSeq and is a predicted model, not a curated record. The transcript has 3 exons. Lineage: Eukaryota; Metazoa; Chordata; Mammalia; Carnivora; Canidae.